Molecule: ribosomal RNA, 524 nt
Filed under: uncultured microorganism
Description: bacterial SSU rRNA
Rfam family: Bacterial small subunit ribosomal RNA
Source: RNAcentral
GAGUUUGAUCUUGGCUCAGAUUGAACGCUGGCGGCAGGCCUAACACAUGCAAGUCGAGCGGAUGAAGGGAGCUUGCUCCUGGAUUCAGCGGCGGACGGGUGAGUAAUGCCUAGGAAUCUGCCUGGUAGUGGGGGAUAACGUCCGGAAACGGGCGCUAAUACCGCAUACGUCCUGAGGGAGAAAGUGGGGGAUCUUCGGACCUCACGCUAUCAGAUGAGCCUAGGUCGGAUUAGCUAGUUGGUGGGGUAAAGGCCUACCAAGGCGACGAUCCGUAACUGGUCUGAGAGGAUGAUCAGUCACACUGGAACUGAGACACGGUCCAGACUCCUACGGGAGGCAGCAGUGGGGAAUAUUGGACAAUGGGCGAAAGCCUGAUCCAGCCAUGCCGCGUGUGUGAAGAAGGUCUUCGGAUUGUAAAGCACUUUAAGUUGGGAGGAAGGGCGAGUAAGUUAAUACCUUGCUGUUUUGACGUUACCAACAGAAUAAGCACCGGCUAACUUCGUGCCAGCCGCCGCUGUAAAACC